Molecule: ribosomal RNA, 162 nt
Filed under: Piper callosum
Lineage: Eukaryota; Viridiplantae; Streptophyta; Magnoliopsida; Piperales; Piperaceae
Also listed under: 1 other name
Description: 5.8S ribosomal RNA
Rfam family: 5.8S ribosomal RNA
About the family: 5.8S ribosomal RNA (5.8S rRNA) is a component of the large subunit of the eukaryotic ribosome. It is transcribed by RNA polymerase I as part of the 45S precursor that also contains 18S and 28S rRNA. Functionally, it is thought that 5.8S rRNA may be involved in ribosome translocation.
Source: RNAcentral
AAUACGACUCUCGGCAACGGAUAUCUCGGCUCUCGCAUCGAUGAAGAACGUAGCGAAAUGCGAUACUUGGUGUGAAUUGCAGAAUCCCGUGAACCAUCGAGUCUUUGAACGCAAGUUGCGCCCGAGGCCUUUCGGCCGAGGGCACAUCUGCUUGGGCGUUAA